GGACUACACGGGUUUCUAAUCCUGUUUGCUACCCACGCUUUCGUGUCUCAGCGUCAGAAGAUGUCCAGUAAGCUGUCUACACCACAGGUGUUCCUCCUGAUAUCUACGCAUUUCACCGCUACACCAGGAAUUCCGCUUACCUCUCCAUCCCUCGAGCACUCCAGUCUUCGGCGCACCCUCCCAGUUGAGCCGGGAGAUUUCACACCAAACUUAGAGCACCGCCUACACACUCUUUACGCCCAGUAAUUCCGAACAACGCUUGCUGCCUACGUAUUACCGCGGCUGCUGGCAC
RNAcentral lists this ribosomal RNA (292 nucleotides) under uncultured Acidobacteriota bacterium. RNAcentral's name for it is "uncultured Acidobacteria bacterium partial 16S ribosomal RNA". Lineage: Bacteria; Pseudomonadati; Acidobacteriota. The record is from RNAcentral.